ACCGGGAAGAUGGGAUAGGGGUAAGCGUGGUUGCCUCUCACCCAGUCGGCCUGGGUUCGAUCCCAGAAGGUCCCGGUG
RNAcentral lists this transfer RNA (78 nucleotides) under Culex quinquefasciatus (southern house mosquito). RNAcentral describes it as "tRNA-Glu". The record is from RNAcentral. Lineage: Eukaryota; Metazoa; Arthropoda; Insecta; Diptera; Culicidae.